ACACAGUCUCACUCUCUACUCGUCAAAUGUCUGACGCAUGGUCAAGUGAUCUGGCGUCACUUUUUUGACGCACUGGGUAUACCUUUGGCGUUAUUUUUCAACGUGCAGGUUAGUCCGAUAGACUUCUAUAGAACUCAGCAGCGUUUAAAUUUGACGUCUUGGUUCAGCACACCGCAACUACACUGAAUAAAUAAAAAUAAAUAAUAGGCUACAAAAAAAAUUAUAUAUGACAGAGAUCGUUUUUAUCUGGCCCUCCAACUUGUUUUUAAGGGUUUAAAUAUUCUCGCAAUCUGAUAUCAAAGUGAUCUCUGUGCCAAAGCUUAGCGCGUUCAUCAGUGGUGAGUUUAACAACACUCAACUGCAGGUAAAACAGCAUUCAUCGGUGAGUUUGACCAAAGCAACGCUCAACUGCAGGGAAAACGACAUAAAAAGGUGAGUUUAACAACGCUCCAAGGCGCGUGCAAGUAAGCAGUUUAACCGUUUUCUUACAACCCAUUUCGCUUAUCGCUUAUUCAUAGUUCAUCAUCUCUAUGAAAUCACGUUCAAGAAGUCUCAUUCAGCACACAUCGCGAUACUUGCCAUCAGUUUCCAUGUGCCACAGGGUCGAUGUAAAGGAAGCAGUCAUCCCUGUGGUGUUUGUGGAGAGGUUUUCCUUCAGAAAUGGAGAAGACUGAAAGCUGCGGAGGCAGACAUUUGCAGCAGAUUGUUUGCAGAUAAUGCUGUUCAAGCUCAACAGCUCUUUUAAGAGCUAACCCUCACAAACCUUCCUAAAAACUAAAAGAGCUAUUACUGAGUCUCAGCGAAUCUUGCCAUGAUCAGCUCUUCCCAGAAGAGAAGGAAGACCAAGGAAAUGAUUUGCUCAUGAGGAAUGAAGACGGCCAUCUUGAGCCCAAACAAAGACUGAAGUCCUCUGAUGAUCUCAUCAACCAAAUGAGGGGUUUUGACCAAGUGAUGCUCUUGAAAGGAGUGAAAGAAGAGGAUGUGGUAAAUUGUCUUCAGAGAAAAACCUUCUCAAAAGGUCUCAAAACAGCUUGAAGAAUGGU
Long non-coding RNA from Carassius gibelio (silver crucian carp), 1043 nucleotides. RefSeq lists it as uncharacterized. The record is from RefSeq and is a predicted model, not a curated record. The transcript has 5 exons. Lineage: Eukaryota; Metazoa; Chordata; Actinopteri; Cypriniformes; Cyprinidae.